This is a long non-coding RNA of Cryptomeria japonica (Japanese cedar), 1632 nucleotides long. RefSeq lists it as uncharacterized. The transcript has 3 exons. The record is from RefSeq and is a predicted model, not a curated record. Lineage: Eukaryota; Viridiplantae; Streptophyta; Pinopsida; Cupressales; Cupressaceae.
UCUAUACAUUGACAAUACAUGAAAACCAAAGGAAUUACGAAAGAAAUUGCUCUUCUUUGCUGCAAUGGAGGAUUUUUGCAGUCAUGCUUGGAAUAAUACUUUCAGUGUUCCCUAAAUUUUAAAGUCCUGAUGACCUGCUUUGGUCAGUUGGUGAGCGAUACUAGGAUCAAGAAGAGUACAUCUUUUCAUCCACAAACAAAUGGACAAAAUAAAGUGAUCAAUAGCACUAUGGAGCAGCUCAUACAGGCUUAUACUGAGUCAAAUCAAGAAAGGUGUGCCCUUAGAUUGCCCCAUGUUCUAAACUUCACAGGCCUGGAAAUCAUUGAAUAAUACAGUAGACCACAGUUUCAUAGCAGACGGUGCACAAAUAGGAAACCAUCCUACUGGUAGGCUAUUGUUUGAUUGAUCCACUCCUACACUGCCAAAUUCAGGUCUGAAGCCACAAUACCCCUGCACAAAGUAAAAUCAGGCAACAUUUUGAGUGGUAUUUAGAUGUAAUUAUUUUCCAGCGCCAGAUGGCACUCAGAUGAUCUGUAUGUGAAUAUUAUGGCAGUCUAAACAAUUCAAUACAAUUUGCUGGCAAACUCUGUUGAAAAGUGAUCCAAUGAUAUUGCAACACUAUAUAUAUUAUCAUUGUGAUUUAUGUUAAAAAUCAGAUCUGUAACUGCUAGACGUAAAGAUGGAAAUAGGGGUUAAAUAUUGUAGAGUUGUUUCUGAAUGCACUGCUGUUUAACACCAAGCUUCUCAUAUAAAAUUCACCAACCUAAUUAUCUAUGUAAAUAAUACUACCGCCUGUGGAUAUGUUUUUCCAGCUAGACAUGUUCUUUGUUUAUCAGUAAUUCAAAGGUCCAUUACAACAAUAGAAAGAAGUUGUUUUGAUGUUUGAAUCUAAUUGCUUCCUCGUGUAUUUUUAAUUUUCUAGUUUAUAUUUUCUAGAAAAGAAAGGAUUCUGUAUUGUUCUAAAAAAACUCUCUUUCUAGAACGUGUUUAUUUCCUGGAAGACAUUGCUUUGCCCUAAACGGUUUUAUUCUCCAAGAAGGAUUCAUGUUUCAAAAAAUUGAGAUUUAGUCUGCAUAUAACUAAUUGAUUGCAUUUGACUAAUUAUUUAAUUUAAUUUAAUUUAAAUAUUUAAGUUGUGCUUAAUUUAAUUACUUGCAUUGUAUUUGCUUGCAGAAAAUAAUAGGAAAAAAAUAGACUGCGUAAUCAUUUAACUCUAUUUAGUGAAGCUAAAAGUAGAUAAAUUUAUUUAUUUCAACCCAUUAGAUUAAGUUUGUUUUAUUAUCUUCAUCAUAUUAAUUUGAUUAUUUACAACACCCAAAAUAUUACAAAACCACAAACUCAAUCAAAAGAAUUGGAGUCCUUCUGGAAACAUUAUCAAGCAAAUAAAAACAUUCGAACAAACUCCAACAAGACAAACAAGCACAAAGAUCUUCCAACAUAUCUAAAAGCAAAAACAAAUUACAAAACAACGUAAGGAUAUAAUCAUUAGCUGAAUGUGCCUUGGACUUUCAAGAAGAGAUUUUUCCUAUUCUUAUCACUAUCAUGCUUGAUCAUAUGUAUUUAAAAUUACAAGUGAGAUAUAUCACAAUCCCACCUAUUCCAAGUACUCUACCUCAACCUAGACAACCAAUG